Molecule: ribosomal RNA, 451 nt
Filed under: uncultured bacterium
Lineage: Bacteria
Description: partial 16S ribosomal RNA
Rfam family: Bacterial small subunit ribosomal RNA
Source: RNAcentral
AACGAACGCUGGCGGCAUGCCUAACACAUGCAAGUCGAACGAGCGCCUUCGGGUGCUAGCGGCGCACGGGUGCGUAACGCGUGGGAAUCUGCCCUUGGGUUCGGAAUAACAGCUAGAAAUGGCUGCUAAUACCGGAUGAUGACGUAAGUCCAAAGAUUUAUCGCCCAGGGAUGAGCCCGCGUAGGAUUAGCUAGUUGGUGGGGUAAAGGCCUACCAAGGCGACGAUCCUUAGCUGGUCUGAGAGGAUGAUCAGCCACACUGGGACUGAGACACGGCCCAGACUCCUACGGGAGGCAGCAGUGGGGAAUAUUGGACAAUGGGCGAAAGCUUGAUCCAGCAAUGCCGCGUGAGUGAUGAAGGCCUUAGGGUUGUAAAGCUCUUUUACCCGGGAUGAUAAUGACAGUACCGGGAGAAUAAGCCCCGGCUAACUCCGUACCAGCCGCCGCCGUAA